AUCUCUCUGUUCCCCGUGUGCAGA
This 24-nucleotide microRNA is filed under the name Gadus morhua (Atlantic cod). RNAcentral's name for it is "gmo-miR-11260-3p". Lineage: Eukaryota; Metazoa; Chordata; Actinopteri; Gadiformes; Gadidae. The record is from miRBase by way of RNAcentral.